Molecule: ribosomal RNA, 460 nt
Filed under: uncultured bacterium
Lineage: Bacteria
Description: partial 16S ribosomal RNA
Rfam family: Bacterial small subunit ribosomal RNA
Source: RNAcentral
CCUACGGGCGGCAGCAGUGAGGCAUAUUGGUCAAUGGACGAGAGUCUGAACCAGCCAAGUAGCGUGAAGGAUGACUGCCCUAUGGGUUGUAAACUUCUUUUAUAUGGGAAUAAAACGUUCCACGUGUGGGAUUUUGUAUGUACCAUAUGAAUAAGGAUCGGCUAACUCCGUGCCAGCAGCCGCGGUAAUACGGAGGAUCCGAGCGUUAUCCGGAUUUAUUGGGUUUAAAGGGAGCGUAGAUGGAUUGUUAAGUCAGUUGUGAAAGUUUGCGGCUCAACCGUAAAAUUGCAGUUGAAACUGGCAGUCUUGAGUACAGUAGAGGUGGGCGGAAUUCGUGGUGUAGCGGUGAAAUGCUUAGAUAUCACGAAGAACUCCGAUUGCGAAGGCAGUUCACUGGACUGCAACUGACACUGAGGCUCGAAAGUGUGGGUAUCAAACAGGAUUAGAUACCCGUGUAGUC